GUGGGGAAUUUUGGACAAUGGGCGCAAGCCUGAUCCAGCAAUGCCGCGUGCAGGAAGAAGGCCUUCGGGUUGUAAACUGCUUUUGUACGGAACGAAACGGCUCUGGUUAAUACCCGGGGCUAAUGACGGUACCGUAAGAAUAAGCACCGGCUAACUACGUGCCAGCAGCCGCGGUAAUACGUAGGGUGCAAGCGUUAAUCGGAAUUACUGGGCGUAAAGCGUGCGCAGGCGGUUGUGUAAGACAGGCGUGAAAUCCCCGGGCUCAACCUGGGAAUUGCGCUUGUGACUGCACAGCUGGAGUGCGGCAGAGGGGGAUGGAAUUCCGCGUGUAGCAGUGAAAUGCGUAGAUAUGCGGAGGAACACCGAUGGCGAAGGCAAUCCCCUGGGCCUGCACUGACGCUCAUGCACGAAAGCGUGGGGAGCAAACAGGAUUAGAAACCCUGGUAGUCC
This 450-nucleotide ribosomal RNA is filed under the name uncultured bacterium. Its description in RNAcentral is "partial 16S ribosomal RNA". It matches the Rfam family "Bacterial small subunit ribosomal RNA", at positions 354 to 796 of the family's 1533-position model. The record is from RNAcentral.